Non-coding RNA from Punica granatum (pomegranate), 847 nucleotides. The record is from RefSeq and is a predicted model, not a curated record. NCBI's taxonomy places the organism in Eukaryota, Viridiplantae, Streptophyta, Magnoliopsida, Myrtales, Lythraceae.
AUGAAGUACCCUCACAAGUUAUCGGUUCUUAGCAUAACCACGCUUAUUUCUGAGGAAUAAUGUGCCAAGCAAAAUUUCGGAACCCAGUUCCUUAUUAGCCUUGGGAUGCAAGUUAGAUGACAUUGCUUUGUUAGAAGAACUUUUGUCUUGAUUGUUGCUUGGUUGUUUUGUUUCCACUCGAUAGGAUCUUCCUGACUUCACAGGUUCAAUGAUGGGACACACAGCUGGAAGUGAAUGCCAGACGAAUCCACAGCUUAGGAGUCCAAAAGAUGGCUGUGACAGUAAUGGAGCCGGGAGCUUGCCUCGAUUGGCAGCUUAUUCUUCAAUCACUAAUUUCCACAACCGGGUUCUGCAGCAGAUGGUCCAAAGGCUGCAGAUCGAGAGUGCAGAAUCGAAAUUCUUGAUCUUAGAUAUCCACACGGCCUUCACUUCCACCCUCAAGCACGAGAAAACGCUGCAGGGAGUUCAAUAAAUCCUUUGAAACCUUGCUGGUUUGGAUCGGGAAAAGGUCCUUCGUGUGAGAGCACGGAUGAGAAAGGGGCAAGGAAGCACGAGUAGUGCAAGGACCCCGAGCUGUCUUUCUUGUGGGACUUGAUACAUCCUUCACAGAGUGGAUGGAAAGUCCGUUUGUUCUAUUAUUCAACCUUCUCUUUACAAACUCUAUUAGAACAGAGACAGCUCUCUCGAUCUUAUUUUGUUCCCGAGCAGUUUUUGAUAUUAGGAAAUCCCUAAGAUUAAGUAUUGAACAUUUUGUGCUUGGCAGCAGAGAAUCCUAUAAAGAAAUAUGAAUGCCCAAACUCUCGUGUUCACUGGUAAAACCGCGAAUAAAUCACGUUCUGCUGUGAAA